UCUAACUGACAGAACAGCCAGCUGGAGUAAAAUCUAACUGACAGAACGGCCAGCUGGAGUAAAAUCUAACUGACAGAACAUCCAGCUGGAGUAAAAUCUAACUGACAGAACAUCCAGCUGGAGUAAAAUCUAACUGACAGAACGGCCAGCUGGAGUAAAAUCUAACUGACAGAACGGCCAGCUGGAGUAAAAUCUAACUGACAGAACAUCCAGCUGGAGUAAAAUCUAACUGACAGAACAGCCAGCUGGAGUAAAAUCUAACUGACAGAACGUCCAGCUGGAGUAAAAUCUAACUGACAGAACGGCCAGCUGGAGUAAAAUCUAACUGACAGAACGGCCAGCUGGAGUAAAAUCUAACUGACAGAACAUCCAGCUGGAGUAAAAUCUAACUGACAGAACAGCCAGCUGGAGUAAAAUCUAACUGACAGAACGUCCAGCUGGAGUAAAAUCUAACUGACAGAACGGCCAGCUGGAGUAAAAUCUAACUGACAGAACGGCCAGCUGGAGUAAAAUCUAACUGACAGAACGGCCAGCUGGAGUAAAAUCUAACUGACAGAACAGCCAGCUGGAGUAAAAUCUAACUGACAGAACAUCCAGCUGGAGUAAAAUCUAACUGACAGAACAGCCAGCUGGAGUAAAAUCUAACUGACAGAACGGCCAGCUGGAGUAAAAUCUAACUGACAGAACGGCCAGCUGGAGUAAAAUCUAACUGACAGAACAUCCAGCUGGAGUAAAAUCUAACUGACAGAACGGCCAGCUGGAGUAAAAUCUAACUGACAGAACAGCCAGCUGGAGUAAAAUCUAACUGACAGAACGGCCAGCUGGAGUAAAAUCUAACUGACAGAACAUCCAGCUGGAGUAAAAUCUAACUGACAGAACAACCAGCUGGAGUAAAAUCUUGAACCUUGCAUGUGAAAGUGUUUAUCCUGUUUCCUACCAAGGAGAUGGGGCAGCAGGUACAGGCCAUGAUCCGCCAGCUGACUGCCUAUUGUGCCAGGGAAGUCCUCUACUCUACACUGAUGCAGGGAUGUAGUCAUUAGUGCAUACCAUAGCAAACAGUUGCAAAACGCUUCAAACAGAAAACAUUUUGCAACGAAAAGAAGAGUUUCUAUUGGACAAAUUCUGUAUGGUCCCUCCCCGUUUUGUUACAUUUGCUUCAUAGUUAAUACACCCCAGGUGACGGUACAUUGACCCCUCACCUCUAACCCCCACAGAGCUAAGGAGUAAGGAGUCUCCAGAAGAAUCAACUUUCAGAAUGUCUCCAACUUCAUCAACUUUGACUUCCCCAUCACCGUUGAGUCCUACAUCCACUGCGUCGGACGAUAACGCUGAGUGGGUUUUGAAGCCGUAUGGGUUUAAGAUGGAGAUCGAGGGCUUCAGAUACUGCUAAUCGGUCCCUCCGACGCUGAGGGGAGGGCCAACCCAAUGUCAGGCAGGAGAAGAGAGAAGCCCAAACCUGUCGGGGUCGUCAAGACAACCAUCAAGAAGGACUUCUGAGGCAAGAACCACUUGAAGAGCUUUUGCUCCCCCGGAGUGAGGAGCCGAGGGGGCAAGGCUAGCAAAUCCUAGGAUUCCAUGUCAACGUGAAACCAAAUAAAAUUCACCUAUGACAUCACCAGUUUCCAGAUCAGUGCAGAUGGAGGGGAAACAAACUGAGGAAGCCACUGGAGACUGAGAUGCAGCCGAAGUGUCCACUAUCAGACCCCAAACGGAAGAAAACUGACUGAAACAGGAGGGGACAAUCUGAACUUAUCCAAUAAGAAACACUUGUUUUUGUAUUCUGUUGGAAAACAUUUUGCUACGUUUUGAAACAGUGCACACCAUUACUCUUAAAGUGAGCCAACAUCGGAGUUUGCCUGGUUAGAAAACCUGUCAAAUUAAUAUAAUGUGCAUUCCCUCCUAAACACGACACAGUAAUGUUAUGGCUGCAUUACUCUGCACCUCCACUGAUGCGAAUGAACUUCUUUCUCUUUACUAGUGUUCAAUGAAAUCCGAAUUGAAGAAUUAAAAUUGUUUUUCAAGAAGUAAUUUUCUAUUAUUGAAUUGUCAAUAAUAGAAAUGGAAUUGACCCCAAUUCUGGUAUUUCCUAUACACAUGCUAUGUACGUGAGGUCAUUUCAGAUGGCUACAUGUGGGUAUUGCACUUAUUGUUUCUUUGUAAUUACAAUUCAGAAAACGUUUAUUACAUGUUUUGUAUUUUUGCUCUUUAAGCCGUUAACCAUAAAUCAUGUCAUGUCAGUCCCAGAGGUCUCUCCCUCUAACCAAAGGUUCUUUGGGGGGGCCACCCGAGUGGCACAGCAGUAAGGCACUGCCUCGCAGUGCUUAAGGCGGCACUACAGACCCAGGUUCGAUCCCAGGCUGUGUUACAGCCGGCCGUGACCGGAAGACCAAUGAGGCAGGACACAAUUGGCCCAGCGUCAUCCGGGUUAGAGGGUUUGGCUGGCCGGGAUUUCCUUGUCCCAUCGCGCACGUUUCCUCCGACACAUUGGUUCGGUUGGCCUUUCGGGUUAAGCAAGCAGUGUGGAGGACGCAUGGCUCUCAACCUUCGCCUCACCAGAGUCUGUACGGAAGUUGCAGCGAUGGGACAAGACCGUAACUACCAAUUGGAUAUCACAAAAGAUUGGGGAGGAAAAGGGGUAAAAGUACAAAAAGAUAAAUAAAAAGUUAUUUGGGGACGUGCUUUGAAUGUAAUUAUGAA
Molecule: long non-coding RNA, 2697 nt
Organism: Oncorhynchus keta (chum salmon)
Lineage: Eukaryota; Metazoa; Chordata; Actinopteri; Salmoniformes; Salmonidae
Exons: 4
Source: RefSeq, a predicted model, not a curated record